This 45-nucleotide non-coding RNA is filed under the name Schistosoma curassoni. Lineage: Eukaryota; Metazoa; Platyhelminthes; Trematoda; Strigeidida; Schistosomatidae. The record is from RNAcentral.
AUUCAGCUGACAAGUCCCGAAUAGGAUGAAACGCGCGUCCUGGAU